CAGAAUGUUAACAGACGCUGCCUUUAGGGAGAGAUAAAAAGCAUAAUGACAUUAGAUGGUGGCCUUAUGCUGUUGUCUCUGGAAGAUCUCCGGCUGUGAGGAAGUCCCUCUAACUUACAACCUGCUCAAGUGCCUCCUAGAUAAAGCGCACUGUGUACUCCUGACAUCUUGUGGUUACAUCUUUUCCUUGAUCAGUCCAGAAAUUCUCAAACUCACUUUAAUCACUUUGCAGAUCCUCUUAAUACUCAAAAAUCUACACUUACUGUGGCUGACAGUUUCAAGCAGAUGUGUUCAUCGCAGUAGUGCAAGAAAAGAAAAGUAGAAGAACCCUGCAGAGAUUUGAUGGAACCCAGCUUCUAUUCAUUAAAACCAAUGGCAAAAUAUAAAGCAAAUAGGAGGUGACGAAGGUUACAAAGAUACGUAUUGUUUAUGUUUUCCCUGGGGUGUGCUGAUUGUCAGGCAUCAGUUCCCUGUGCCAUUCAUUCCCCAACACAGCAUGCAUCAGAAAUUUUAUCAAUAAAUGCUUUCUCUCUCAAUGUUCAACCUAUGCUGAUAGACCAUUAAAUACAGUUUUUGGGUUCACAGCUUGUCAUCAUCAUUUGUCUAUACCUGUGGCAAAGAAUAUCUAAUAAGAUACUCUCAGCAUUUUGCACACUUAAACUAAGAUGCUGAAUGCUGUAUUUUACGGAAUAAUCAGCCACAUUAAAUUUGGAGACUCAACAAGCAUGCUGUGAACAUUCAACAUUAGGUUUAAAUUUUAUUUUUAAAAGUUAAUAAUAAAAGGAUAUAUGUUAAGUAUUAUGAAACCCUGCAUAUAUUGUAAUAAAAUGGUGGAUGUGAAUGGACAAU
Molecule: long non-coding RNA, 849 nt
Filed under: Homo sapiens (human)
Lineage: Eukaryota; Metazoa; Chordata; Mammalia; Primates; Hominidae
Description: HSALNT0325869
Source: RNAcentral